UUUCCGUAGGUGAACCUGCGGAAGGAUCAUUAUUGGAUUUUGAAACUUCAGGCUGCUGCUGGCUCUCCUCGGAGGGCAUGUGCACGCUUGUUGUCCAUUAUUUCUCCCACUGUUCACAAAUUGUAGACCUUUCAGUAGGCCUAUGUUGUUUUUCACAAUCUCUGAAUGUAAUAGAAUGGUUUUGAAUCUUGGGAAAUACAAUACAACUUUCAGCAACGGAUCUCUUGGCUCUC
RNAcentral lists this unclassified non-coding RNA (233 nucleotides) under plant metagenome. Its description in RNAcentral is "partial contains small subunit ribosomal RNA, internal transcribed spacer 1, and 5.8S ribosomal RNA". The record is from RNAcentral.